This 498-nucleotide ribosomal RNA is filed under the name uncultured bacterium. RNAcentral's name for it is "partial 16S ribosomal RNA". It matches the Rfam family "Bacterial small subunit ribosomal RNA", at positions 28 to 507 of the family's 1533-position model. The record is from RNAcentral.
GAUGAACGCUGGCGGCGUGCCUAAUACAUGCAAGUCGAGCGAACGGACGAGAAGCUUGCUUUUCUGAUGUUAGCGGCGGACGGGUGAGUAACACGUGGAUAACCUACCUAUAAGACUGGGAUAACUUCGGGAAAACCGGAGCUAAUACCGGAUAAUAUUUUGAACCGCAUGGUUCAAAAGUGAAAGACGGUCUUGCUGUCACUUAUAGAUGGAUCCGCGCUGCAUUAGCUAGUUGGUAAGGUAACGGCUUACCAAGGCAACGAUGCAUAGCCGACCUGAGAGGGUGAUCGGCCACACUGGAACUGAGACACGGUCCAGACUCCUACGGGAGGCAGCAGUAGGGAAUCUUCCGCAAUGGGCGAAAGCCUGACGGAGCAACGCCGCGUGAGUGAUGAAGGUCUUCGGAUCGUAAAACUCUGUUAUUAGGGAAGAACAUAUGUGUAAGUAACUGUGCACAUCUUGACGGUACCUAAUCAGAAAGCCACGGCUAACUACGUG